Molecule: small RNA, 1013 nt
Filed under: Pongo abelii (Sumatran orangutan)
Lineage: Eukaryota; Metazoa; Chordata; Mammalia; Primates; Hominidae
Description: retained intron
Source: RNAcentral
AGCUGUCCGCGGUGCUGGCGCGGGCGGGACUGAGGGGCCGGCCCCCAAGGGAGGGGAGCGAAGCGGGGGACUUCUAAGACCACUUCUAGGCUGGAUGGCUGGAUCCAUGAGAAGAUGCUGAUGGCGCGGGAUGGCACGCGGGAGGACAGCCACAAGCUGCAUAAGAGAUGGCUCCGGCACCAGGCAUUCAUGGCCGAGCUGGCUCAGAAUAAGGAGUGGCUGGAGAAGAUCGAGAGGGAGGGCCAGCAACUGAUGCAGGAGAAGCCCGAACUGGCGGCCUCCGUGCGGAAGAAGCUGGGCGAGAUCCGCCAGUGCUGGGCGGAGCUGGAGAGCACCACCCAGGCCAAGGCACGGCAGCUCUUUGAGGCCAGCAAAGCAGACCAGCUGGUGCAGAGCUUUGCUGAGCUGGACAAGAAGCUCCUUCACAUGGAAAGCCAGCUGCAAGACGUGGACCCUGGAGGGGACCUGGCCACCGUCAACAGUCAACUCAAGAAGCUGCAGGUAUGGCCUUCCUGGCCCAGAUGAGGGCUCCCUAUGCCACAUGGGGGCCAGGUGAGGGUCCAACUCCACUCAAGGUAUGUCAAAUGGAGGGGAUUUAAUACAGGGAUUUAUUUCAAACUUGUAGAAGAGCAGAAAGGGAAUACUGAAGCAAUCCAGCUAGUAAUAACUGCUGGAAGCAGCCACCACCCCCUAAGGUAUGGAGUACAAAGGGAAAAGGAAGGAUCUAGAGCCACAAAGCAGUAGAUAAAUGACUAGCAUGCUAAAGGUUUCACAGGACCCUGACACUCAUUUCCUGGAUGGAGAAACCAAGGCCCAGGGGUAUGGGAAUGGCUUUGCAUGGAAUAACAAUGACAUUCAUUGAGCAUUCCUCUACCAGUCUCUGGGCCAAGCACUCACUGACUCCUCCCAGCCACUUCUGGAGAUUGGUACUGUUAUUAUCCCAUUUUACCAAUGGGGAAACUGAGGCACAGAAAGUACGGCACCUGGCCCAAGGACACACAGCUGACUAGUGU